AGUUGCCCAUGUCCCCGCCCCGGCCUGUGGUGGUGACCCCUGCCAGCUCGGUGCCUUUGCCGGCCCCGCGGCACCAGAAGUUGGGCUGGUCCAGGAGGAACGAGUCCGAGAACUGGCUGAAGCCGAUGAACAGCGCCGGGAUCCAGCGGCUUAUUUUCCAGAAGAGGUCCACUUUGUGUCUGGCUCUGCCUCCUUUCCCCCACAGUCACAAGGACACAUUUGUUUGCUUGUAACUGAUCACAAAAAGAGCAUUGCCAUUGACCUUAAUGACCCUUCCAAUCAGAGUAACUAUCAUAGCCAGCGUUUCAGAGUUGGCUUUCAAACUCACACUCUGACUCAGUCCUCACAUUCAGCACCCCAAGAAGUGGGCUUUCAAAGAGAAACAGCAAGGAUCAGGUGACUGACUACCAGAUCGAAGAGUUGGUCCCCAGCUGAGCCAAACAUCUGGUUUUGAACCCAGAUUUUCUGACUGGACAUUACAGGAUUUCUCCAUUUCAUCAUACAAGGGACCGUGCUUUCUUGGACUGCAGUAAAUGAGCAGGCACUCUCCAGCUUGCCCUCAUCCCUGCCUGACACAUGCCCCUCAUGCAUGUCAUUUGGCCCCCAAAAGUAGCUGUGUUUGUGACCCUAAAUUCAUCAUGGAAACAGCCUCUUCUGUUUGAUGAGAAUCAUCCCAAAGUUGGCAUAUGAAGCUUGAGUUUCAAGUAUGGAUGCUGAGCUCUUGACAGUGGACGGAGUUUUGCUCUUGUUGUCCAGGCUGGAAUGCAAUGCCACAAUCUCAGCUCACCUCAACCUCUGCCUCCCGGGUUCAAGUGAUUCUCCUGCCUCAGCCUCUUGAGUAUCUGAGAUUACAGGCAUGCGCCACCAUACCUGGCUAAUUUUGUAUUUUUAGUAGAGACGGGGUUUCUCCAUGUUGGUCAGGCUGGUCUCGAACUCCCGACCUCCAAUGAUCCGUCCGCCUUGGCCUCCCAAAGUGCUGGGAUUAUAGGCGUGAGCCACUGCACCCAGAUAUGAUGACAUUUUUAAUCAAGAAAAGGUUUGAUGGUUUGAAACCCAAAGUUGAUGGGAGGGGCACAAAAAUACAAAUGAUUGAAAAAUAUAUAUAUAUUUUUUUGAGACAGAGGUUUUUUUUUGCUCUUGUUGCCCAGGCUGGAGUGCAAUGGCAUGAUCUUGGCUGACCGCAACCUCCGCCUCCUGGGUUCAAACAAUUCUCCUGCCUUAGCCUCCCGAGUAGCUGGGAUUACAGGCAUGUGCCACCACAUCUGGCUAAUUUUGUAUUUUUUUUUUUUUUUUUUUACUUUCUCCAUGUUGGUCAGGUUGGUCUCGAACUCCCGACCUCAGGUAAUCCACCCAUCUCAGCCUCCCAAAGUGCUGGGAUUACAGGCAUGAGCAACUGUGCCUGGCUGAAAAAUAAAUUUUAAUGAGA
This is a long non-coding RNA of Pongo pygmaeus (Bornean orangutan), 1426 nucleotides long. RefSeq lists it as uncharacterized. The transcript is spliced from 5 exons. The record is from RefSeq and is a predicted model, not a curated record. Lineage: Eukaryota; Metazoa; Chordata; Mammalia; Primates; Hominidae.